This is a long non-coding RNA of Chenopodium quinoa (quinoa), 2850 nucleotides long. RefSeq lists it as uncharacterized. The transcript has 3 exons. The record is from RefSeq and is a predicted model, not a curated record. Lineage: Eukaryota; Viridiplantae; Streptophyta; Magnoliopsida; Caryophyllales; Amaranthaceae.
GUACGAUACGUUGGGAAUUUAUAAAAACGACCGUAUUUAAAUUCUGCACCAUAUUUCUAAUUGGUUGAUGCCUGCUGCUCUCCCACCGACUUCCUUCGCUGUCUCUCUUCUCAUUUCAUCUCAUCUCAGGAAAAAAAGGUUGAGUUGCUUUUAGGGGAAACAAGGAGAGAGAAACUAGAGAGAGAAAACUUCGACACCUUCAGCAACGAUGGCGGUGAGCUCAAAACCACCGAUCAUCCCUUCGACGAUGGUUAUGGGCUUCAAUUCUUCUCAGCGUUUCCGGUUUCGGCGCUGCGUUUCCGGUUUCGGCGCUGCGGUUGCUAAGGUUAAUUGCUUUUUUAUUUCUCCUCUUUUUUUCGUUUUUUCCUCGUCCUCCUGUUUCUCUGUUUUCUCUCUAAAAUAGGCGGAAGGAGGAAGAUGGAGCAAGGUUUGGUUGACUCGAGUUUGAGGUGAAUAAACUCAGCAGCUUGAGAGGUAAUUUGUUGAUUCUCGAUGGAAUUAUCUCUGAUCUCCAGGUAUAAUUUUCUCUACUUUCACUCUCGUGUUCUAAUUGGUUCAAUAUUCAGCUCUUUGCUUAGAUUUUUCCUUUUGUUUAAAUGUUAAAAAAAUUUAAUGUUAUUGACAGUACGAUGUAAAAUAUUUGUCUGAUUGAAUUAGUUUAAGAAAAUUGAUGUUAUUGAGCUUUGUUUUUGUGGGUUUUGCUUUGAUUUUUAAUGGGUUUAGUUAGAUUUUAGAAUUGGGUUUGCUUUAAUUCUUAGAAUUGUAGUUUAGGUUGGUGUAAUAAAGAGUUUAAAUUAAAAUUAAAGAGAUGUUUGAUUUGUUGUUAAAGAUGAAAUGCUUAUGAUUUCUUGAGGCAUUGACUUUGUGAGUGUUAAAUAAAGUCGAUGUCUAGCAUACUACUCUCCUUUUGAAGUUAAUCAAGACGAAAAACACUCAAAAAAGGUUAGUGAUCUGCAACUACUGCUGUAAUGUAGUUGAGAGUUGACUCUAAAAUAAUCUUAGUUGAUGACUUAAUAAGAAGUAUAUUUUGUUAGGCUUUUGAUUGCUCUCUUCUCUCAUUUUAUAUUGUUCUCUCUCCCCAUUGACUCUGACUAUCCUCUUGUUGAUUUCAUGUGUAUCUUCAUUUCAUCAUUUGAAAACGGCUUUGGUGAAUUAGUUUCAUAUGCAUCUGUUUUUCAUCAUUUGAAAUGGCUUUGGUAACUGGUUUGUGUUAAUGAAAGGCAAAGAGAAAGAGAGAAUCAAGAUAUUUGGUUUUUGCAAGCAUUUUGUUUCAGCUAAAAAAGCUAUAAUGGUUUGAUUUAUGACACUCCCUCUCCUGUUUUAUGGUGUAAACUGCUUGAUCCUAGGAAUCAUGCAGAUUUUGUGAAAGUAAUCAAUAUUUUCAUUUUCAAACAAGUAUUUAUAAAGGGCAAGAAAAGAGGCAUAGUGUCUAAUGUUAAAAUAAUUUACAUGAGGUUUGCUUUGUAAUAAGCUGUCAGAGAGUUGAGGUUCUUUAAGGUUUUUGGUUCAAGUAUGAUAAGGUUGUCUUGUAUAAUCAUUUCAAAGCAAUAUUUCCAGCUAUAAUCGAUAUCAUUUCUAGGACUUCCUACCUAAUUUGACCAACUUAAAGCGCUAAGUGAGUAAUUAUUUUCUACCACUUAUAAUACAUAUUUUAUUCGAGGAGCCUUCAUAAUUAAGGGACGGGUGCCAAAAGGAUGGGCAUCAUUGAAGCCCAAAAAAGUUAUUUAAUUAUUAUCUUAUUUAAAGUGAAUUUUGGUUUUAGCAAUUCUCUCUUAAUGUUUAUUGUUUUUUAACAAUCACCUAGAUGCUUUGUUCUGAAUCAAACUUAAUUAUAUUUUUGGUUAUUGUAAUCAUUGGCCAUAUGGAAUGCAAUGCAAAUGAAUAAAACCACAUUUUGGUUCACAGGGUUUUUGUUUUUCCCUAUUUGGUUAAAUUAUUUUAGUAUACUCUUCUUUUACAUGUAUGAGUUGUAAGAGUUUAGUUGGAAAUUCUAAGUGAUUCGCUUUGCAUGCCAAAGCUCUAGGAAUAUGAUGGAUGAAGCAUGUAUUGAUUUUUCAUAGGGAUUUAAAGAAAAUCAUAUACAUAGUAAUUACUAACUAAAAUGCCCUAAUUUGAUAAUUGAAUCAACUUUGCUAAUAUGUUGCAGGAUUUUGGUUAUAACCCUUAAAUGUUAAGAUGGAAUUAUAAAAACAUGCCUUUUUCUCUUGAGUAGUUGCCUUUAGUGAGGUGAUGGCGACAUUGGCAAUGUCGCCAUCACCUUAAUUGAUCUGCAAUUGCUUUUUUUUUCAUUAUCCAGUGAGGUGAUGGUGACAUUGGCAACGAAUGGAGCUUUAUGGAAGCCACAAGAGCAAGGGAUAAGGAGAUAUGUGGAUUAUUGGAGCAGCAAGUGUCACCUAUUCAAAAUUCUAACAAAACUCAAAUUUGGCAGCAGCUGCAACACUACUCACAAUUUCCCGAUUUCAAUAACUACCUCGCCUUCAUUUGUAUCAUGAGGGAAGAGAAAGGCUAGAGGGAGUAGAGUUGCAAGCUUGAUGGGAAUGGUAGUAUUAAUUUGCAGUCCCCCCCUCUCCUCCCUCCCCUCCAUCUCUCCAUCUUGAUGCUAUUGUUGGCUUAUCAAUUCAUUGUAUUAUGAUGAGCUGAAAAAGUCUUGAAUCUUUUAAUGGUAAUUUUAGUUUGACAUCCUAAGUACCUAAUUGGAAAAGUCUUUGGAUUAUUAUGGCGUUCUUUUUUUAAGCUUUGUUCAUUGUGGAUGUUGUUGUAUAAGUAGACAAAGUAGAUUUAUGAGUAAUGAAAAUGAUGUGACAUGUAGUAAAUUAUAUACUAUGUAAUAAUAAUUGUUAUUUAGAUUUA